CGGACGGGUGAGUAACGCGUGGGUAACCUGCCUCAUAGAGGGGGACAACAGUUGGAAACGACUGCUAAUACCGCGUAGUAAGAAAGAUUCGCAUGUUUCUUUCUUGAAAGAUUUAUCGCUAUGAGAUGGACCCGCGUCUGAUUAGCUAGUUGGUAAGGUAACGGCUUACCAAGGCGACGAUCAGUAGCCGGCUUGAGAGAGUGAAUGGCCACAUUGGGACUGAGACACGGCCCAAACUCCUACGGGAGGCAGCAUG
Molecule: ribosomal RNA, 256 nt
Filed under: uncultured bacterium
Lineage: Bacteria
Description: partial 16S ribosomal RNA
Rfam family: Bacterial small subunit ribosomal RNA
Source: RNAcentral